Molecule: transfer RNA, 84 nt
Filed under: Pseudocercospora fijiensis CIRAD86
Lineage: Eukaryota; Fungi; Ascomycota; Dothideomycetes; Mycosphaerellales; Mycosphaerellaceae
Description: tRNA-Ser (GCT) (tRNA-Ser-GCT-2-1)
Rfam family: tRNA (bases 5-70)
About the family: Transfer RNA (tRNA) molecules are approximately 80 nucleotides in length. Their secondary structure includes four short double-helical elements and three loops (D, anti-codon, and T loops).
Source: RNAcentral
UUAAUAGCGGAGUGGUUAACGCGUCAGCCUGCUAAGCUGAUUCCUUCGGGAGCGUGUGUUCGAAUCACACAGGUGUCGGGAAAG